Zingiber officinale is the source of this 601-nucleotide long non-coding RNA. RefSeq lists it as uncharacterized. The transcript has 4 exons. The record is from RefSeq and is a predicted model, not a curated record. Lineage: Eukaryota; Viridiplantae; Streptophyta; Magnoliopsida; Zingiberales; Zingiberaceae.
UUAACCGAAAACCCCUCUUCCCGAUUUGCCUCUUGAUUCAUCACUGGACACUUGUUGAUUCAAGGGUUUAGCUAGAUUAGGGUUCUUCUUUUGGAAUUGACUCUUUUUGUGCUGGAUUCUUUCCCUGAUCGGAUUGGUCAUCUUCUUGUGGUUGGUUUAGGUUUCGGUUGAAGAUGAUGGGAUCAAUCGAGUUGUCGAGCAGAGGCUUGAAGGUUUAUUGUGUGAUCUGUGAUCUCCAAUCUUGUGAUUGAUCAGUCUUCUCUUUGAUUGAUUCCGGCCACCACAUCCUUGGCAACAGAUUAGUACGCUUAAGGGGAGAAAUCCAGCAGGGAGGUUGUGUUCUGGAGGUGAGCGAUAGGGAUCUUGGACCUUAUCUUCCUUGCUGCUGAUUAAGGUCACGAUUAAGUGAGGUGAAGUUCUGGAUUGUGAAGUAAACCCAGCAGAGAGGAUCAGUAGGCUGUGAGCUGUCCUGUUUCUGUGGAUUUAGAAUUGGGUGCUGUGGUGUUCUUGAUCCAACAUCAACAGGGGCUGUGAGCUUGAGGACUCUGAUUCGAGACGGGCGUCUCGACUUCGGAUUUGGAUUGUACCAUCUAUUUGAGGC